This 372-nucleotide ribosomal RNA is filed under the name uncultured organism. RNAcentral describes it as "bacterial SSU rRNA". It matches the Rfam family "Bacterial small subunit ribosomal RNA", at positions 526 to 896 of the family's 1533-position model. The record is from RNAcentral.
CGUAGGGACCAAGCGUUGUUCGGAUUUACUGGGCGUAAAGGGCGCGUAGGCGGCGCGGUGAGUCACUUGUGAAAUCUCUGAGCUUAACUCAGAACGGCCAAGUGAUACUGCAGUGCUAGAGUGUGGAAGGGGCAAUCGGAAUUCUUGGUGUAGCGGUGAAAUGCGUAGAUAUCAAGAGGAACACCUGAGGUGAAGACGGGUUGCUGGGCCAACACUGACGCUGAUGCGCGAAAGCCAGGGGAGCAAACGGGAUUAGAUACCCCGGUAGUCCUGGCCCUAAACGAUGAAUACUUGGUGUCUGGAGUUUUAAUGCUCCGGGUGCCGUCGCUAACGUUUUUAGUAUUCCGCCUGGGGAGUACGCUCGCAAGAGUG